GACGAACGCUGGCGGCGUGCCUAAUACAUGCAAGUCGAACGAAGCUUUUUUAACUGGUGCUUGCACCGACUUAAACAACUGAGUGGCGAACGGGUGAGUAACACGUGGGUAACCUGCCCCAAAGCGGGGGAUAACAUUUGGAAACAGAUGCUAAUACCGCAUAACCACAGAAACCACAUGGUUUCUGUGUCAAAGAUGGUUUCGGCUAUCACUUUGGGAUGGACCCGCGGCGUAUUAGCUAGUUGGUAAGGUAAUGGCUUACCAAGGCAAUGAUAGGUAGCCGAACUGAGAGGUUGAUCGGCCACAUUGGGACUGAGACACGGCCCAAACCCCUACGGGAGGCAGCAGUAGGGAAUCUUCCACAAUGGACGAAAGUCUGAUGGAGCAACGCCGCGUGAGUGAAGAAGGUUUUCGGAUCGUAAAACUCUGUUGUCAGAGAAGAACGUGUGUGAGAGUAACUGUUCGUGCAGUGACGGUAUCUGGCCAGAAAGCCACGGCUAACUACGUGCCAGCAGCCGCUGUAA
This 524-nucleotide ribosomal RNA is filed under the name uncultured bacterium. RNAcentral's name for it is "partial 16S ribosomal RNA". It matches the Rfam family "Bacterial small subunit ribosomal RNA", at positions 28 to 523 of the family's 1533-position model. The record is from RNAcentral.